RNAcentral lists this ribosomal RNA (336 nucleotides) under uncultured Lachnospiraceae bacterium. RNAcentral's name for it is "bacterial SSU rRNA". It matches the Rfam family "Bacterial small subunit ribosomal RNA", at positions 355 to 710 of the family's 1533-position model. Lineage: Bacteria; Bacillati; Bacillota; Clostridia; Lachnospirales; Lachnospiraceae. The record is from RNAcentral.
UGGGGAAUAUUGCACAAUGGGGAAACCCUGAUGCAGCGACGCCGCGUGAGCGAAGAAGUAUUUCGGUAUGUAAAGCUCUAUCAGCAGGGAAGAAAUGACGGUACCUGACUAAGAAGCCCCGGCUAACUACGUGCCAGCAGCCGCGGUAAUACGUAGGGGGCAAGCGUUAUCCGGAUUUACUGGGUGUAAAGGGAGCGCAGGCGGUCCUGCAAGUCUGAUGUGAAAGCCCGGGGCUCAACCCCGGGACUGCAUUGGAAACUGUGGGACUUGAGUGUCGGAGGGGCAAGUGGAAUUCCUAGUGUAGCGGUGAAAUGCGUAGAUAUUAGGAGGAACACC